Molecule: ribosomal RNA, 269 nt
Filed under: uncultured archaeon
Lineage: Archaea
Description: partial 16S ribosomal RNA
Rfam family: Archaeal small subunit ribosomal RNA
Source: RNAcentral
CAGCACCUCAAGUGGUCAGGAUGAUUAUUGGGCCUAAAGCAUCCGUAGCCGGCUCUGUAAGUUUUCGGUUAAAUCUGUACGCUCAACGUACAGGCUGCCGGGAAUACUGCAGAGCUAGGGAGUGGGAGAGGUAGACGGUACUCGGUAGGAAGGGGUAAAAUCCUUUGAUCUAUUGAUGACCACCUGUGGCGAAGGCGGUCUACCAGAACACGUCCGACGGUGAGGGAUGAAAGCUGGGGGAGCAAACCGGAUUAGAUACCCGAGUAGUC